UAGGGAAUCUUCGGCAAUGGGGGGAACCCUGACCGAGCAACGCCGCGUGAGUGAAGAAGGUUUUCGGAUCGUAAAGCUCUGUUGUUAAGGAAGAACGAGUGUGAGAAUGGAAAGUUCAUACUGUGACGGUACUUAACCAGAAAGGGACGGCUAACUACGUGCCAGCAGCCGCGGUAAUACGUAGGUCCCGAGCGUUGUCCGGAUUUAUUGGGCGUAAAGCGAGCGCAGGCGGUUAGAUAAGUCUGAAGUUAAAGGCAGUGGCUCAACCAUUGUAGGCUUUGGAAACUGUUUAACUUGAGUGCAGAAGGGGAGAGUGGAAUUCCAUGUGUAGCGGUGAAAUGCGUAGAUAUUAAAAAGAAUACCGGUGGCGAAGGCGACUUACUGGGCUCAUUCUGACGCUGAGGAACGAAAGCGUGGGUAGCAAACAGG
This 429-nucleotide ribosomal RNA is filed under the name Bacteroidota bacterium. Its description in RNAcentral is "Bacteroidetes bacterium partial 16S ribosomal RNA". It matches the Rfam family "Bacterial small subunit ribosomal RNA", at positions 355 to 776 of the family's 1533-position model. Lineage: Bacteria; Pseudomonadati; Bacteroidota. The record is from RNAcentral.